This 225-nucleotide ribosomal RNA is filed under the name uncultured bacterium. Its description in RNAcentral is "partial 16S ribosomal RNA". It matches the Rfam family "Bacterial small subunit ribosomal RNA", at positions 109 to 334 of the family's 1533-position model. The record is from RNAcentral.
CGUAACACGUGAGCAACCUUCCGAAAUAUGGGGGAUAGCCGGCCUAACGGCCGAGUAAUACCGCAUACGCUCUCGAUGAGGCAUUUCAUUGAGAGGAAACCUCCGGGGUAUUUCGAGGGGCUCGCGGCCUAUCAGCUAGUUGGCGAGGUAACGGCUCACCAAGGCAACGACGGGUAGCUGGUCUGAGAGGAUGGCCAGCCACAUUGGAACUGAGAUACGGCCCAG